Molecule: long non-coding RNA, 286 nt
Organism: Mastomys coucha (southern multimammate mouse)
Lineage: Eukaryota; Metazoa; Chordata; Mammalia; Rodentia; Muridae
Exons: 2
Source: RefSeq, a predicted model, not a curated record
GACCUACCAUCCAGCAUGCCUGAGAGACUGGAUCUACCAUCCAGCAUGCCUGAGAGACUGGAUCACCAUCCCGUUUCUUUGGCUGGCCUUCCUGGGCCUAGCUUCUAGAGUCAGCACUUUGAUCACAAAACCGACUGGAGGAAAUUCCACCCAAAACUUUAAUAUGGAAAAGGAGAAAAACCGAAAACAUCCAGAUCCCCUCACAAAGCUCUGCAAAGGUCAAUGGGAUUAAUACAGCCUUUGAACAUGGUUAUUUAGCUGAAAUAAAGGAGCAACAUGGGGCAGA